This 895-nucleotide ribosomal RNA is filed under the name uncultured Corynebacterium sp. Its description in RNAcentral is "bacterial SSU rRNA". It matches the Rfam family "Bacterial small subunit ribosomal RNA", at positions 505 to 1398 of the family's 1533-position model. The record is from RNAcentral. Lineage: Bacteria; Bacillati; Actinomycetota; Actinomycetes; Mycobacteriales; Corynebacteriaceae.
GUGCCAGCAGCCGCGGUAAUACGUAGGGUGCGAGCGUUGUCCGGAUUUACUGGGCGUAAAGAGCUCGUAGGUGGCUUGUCGCGUCGUCUGUGAAAGUCUGGGGCUUAACUCCGGGUGUGCAGGCGAUACGGGCUGGCUUGAGUGCUGUAGGGGAGACUGGAAUUCCUGGUGUAGCGGUGGAAUGCGCAGAUAUCAGGAGGAACACCGAUGGCGAAGGCAGGUCUCUGGGCAGCCACUGACGCUGAGGAGCGAGAGCAUGGGUAGCGAACAGGAUUAGAUACCCUGGUAGUCCAUGCUGUAAACGGUGGGCGCUAGGUGUGGGGACUUUCCAUGGUUUCCGUGUCGUAGCUAACGCGUUAAGCGCCCCGCCUGGGGAGUACGGCCGCAAGGCUAAAACUCAAAGGAAUUGACGGGGGCCCGCACAAGCGGCGGAGCAUGUGGAUUAAUACGAUGCAACGCGAAGAACCUUACCUGGGUUUGACAUGCACUAGAUUAGGCGAGAGAUCGUCUGUCCCUUUGUGGCUGGUGUGCAGGUGGUGCAUGGUUGUCGUCAGCUCGUGUCGUGAGAUGUUGGGUUAAGUCCCGCAACGAGCGUAACCCUUGUCUUAUGUUGCCAGCACGUUGUGGUGGGGACUCGUGAGAGACUGCCGGGGUGAACUCGGAGGAAGGUGGGGAUGACGUCAAAUCAUCAUGCCCCUUAUGUCCAGGGCUUCACACAUGCUACAAUGGCCGGUACAGUAGGUUGCGAGACCGUGAGGUGGAGCUAAUCCUUUAAAGCUGGUCGUAGUUCGGAUUGGGGUCUGCAACUCGACCCCAUGAAGKCGGAGUCGCUAGUAAUCGCAGAUCAGCAACGCUGCGGUGAAUACGUUCCCGGGNCAUGCACUCACCGCCCGUC